AGAUGGAUGAAAUGAUUCCAUUGAAAUUGCUUCUGAGAACUGUGACUUGAAAAUUUAAUUUCUCUUCAGAUGCAAAGGUUCUUAGUUUUGAGAUAUGAGGAAAAUAGAUCAAACAAUCAAAUUAAAAUGAAAGAUUUACAGAAAUUCAUUAAAUACAUUAAAGGCAGGAAUGUAUCACAAGUAGAAAAUUUAUUCAGAAUUUACUGAGUGAUCGAAGGCCCUAACUGGAAAAUAAGGUUCAACGAAUAAUUGGUGUUUUAGAGGUUUUGAAUUCAAAAAGUUUAGAUGGAAAUCUUUUGAUAAAUACAAUAUGACAUGAUUGAAAAUCUCACGAAUGCAUUCUCUAUAGAAAGUAAGAAUGCGAAAGUAACUUUUAUCUCAUUUCAUUGAAGAAAACAACUACAAAUUUGGCAAUAAAAAAGUUAAUUAUUACACUACACAUGAAAUUAUAUCUCGAGCUAUCAUUGUAACGGAUGACAAAAUUAAGAU
This is a long non-coding RNA of Ctenocephalides felis (cat flea), 489 nucleotides long. RefSeq lists it as uncharacterized. The record is from RefSeq and is a predicted model, not a curated record. Lineage: Eukaryota; Metazoa; Arthropoda; Insecta; Siphonaptera; Pulicidae. The transcript is spliced from 3 exons.